GAAAGGGUAUGAGAGUUCACAUUAGGGAUUGAGGAUUCAAAUGGACACAAAAGAUCUGCCACAACAUGAGUAAAAAAAAAUUGAACAGACUCAACAAUACCCGUCUGUACCUUGAGCUAGGGUUGUCUACAUAAAAGGCUAGGAGUUUCCAAUUUGAUUGGAAAGACUAUGAGAGUUCACAUUAGAGAUUGAGGAUUCGAAUGGACACAAAGUAUCUGCCAAAACAUGAGUCAAGAAAACUAAACUGAUUCAACAAUACCCGUCUGUAGCGUAAGCUAGGGUUGGCAACAUCAAAAGCUAGGAGUGUCCAAUUUGAUUGGAAAAAGUAUGAGAGUUCACGUUAGAGAUUGAGGAUUCGAAUGGAUACAAAAGAUCUGCCAAAACAUGAGUCAAAAAAAUU
RNAcentral lists this long non-coding RNA (400 nucleotides) under Prunus persica (peach). RNAcentral describes it as "long non-coding RNA (PPER_LNC008669)". Lineage: Eukaryota; Viridiplantae; Streptophyta; Magnoliopsida; Rosales; Rosaceae. The record is from RNAcentral.